CCUACGGGAGGCAGCAGUGAGGAAUAUUGGUCAAUGGGCGGGAGACUGAACCAGCCAAGCCGCGUGAAGGAUGAAGGUACAGAGUAUCGUAAACUUCUUUUAUAAGGGAAUAAAGACAGGCACGCGUGCCUGGAUGUAUGUACCUUAUGAAAAAGGAUCGGCUAACUCCGUGCCAGCAGCCGCGGUAAUACGGAGGAUCCGAGCGUUAUCCGGAUUUAUUGGGUUUAAAGGGUGCGGAGAUGGGUUGUUAAGUCAGUGGUGAAAGGUCGGGGCUCAACCCCAGGAUGGCCAUUGAUACUGGCAGUCUUGAGUACAGUUGAGGUAUGCGGAAUGCGUGGUGUAGCGGUGAAAUGCUUAGAUAUCACGAAGAACUCCGAUUGCGAAGGCAGCAUACCAAC
RNAcentral lists this ribosomal RNA (398 nucleotides) under uncultured bacterium. RNAcentral's name for it is "partial 16S ribosomal RNA". It matches the Rfam family "Bacterial small subunit ribosomal RNA", at positions 338 to 733 of the family's 1533-position model. The record is from RNAcentral.